CAGUCGCCACGGUAAUACGUAGGGGGCAAGCGUUAUCCGGAUUUACUGGGUGUAAAGGGAGCGUAGACGGAAUGGCAAGUCUGAAGUGAAAUGCCCGGGCUCAACCCGGGAACUGCUUUGGAAACUGUCGAUCUGGAGUGUUGGAGAGGUAAGUGGAAUUCCUGGUGUAGCGGUGAAAUGCGUAGAGAUCAGGAAGAACACCGGAGGCGAAGGCGGCUUACUGGACAAAGACUGACGUUGAGGCUCGAAAGCGUGGGAAGCAAACAGGAUUAGAGACCCCCGUAGUCCCUGUCUCUUAUAC
Molecule: ribosomal RNA, 301 nt
Filed under: uncultured bacterium
Lineage: Bacteria
Description: partial 16S ribosomal RNA
Rfam family: Bacterial small subunit ribosomal RNA
Source: RNAcentral